CCUACGGGAGGCAGCAGUGAGGAAUAUUGGUCAAUGGACGAGAGUCUGAACCAGCCACGUCGCGUGAGGGAUGAAGGUUCUAUGGAUCGUAAACCUCUUUUAUAAGGGAAUAAAGUGUGGGACGUGUCCUGUUUUGUAUGUACCUUAUGAAUAAGGAUCGGCUAACUCCGUGCAAGCAGCCGCGGUAAUACGGAGGGUCCGAGCGUUAUCCGGAUUUAUUGGGUUUAAAGGGUGCGUAGGCGGCCUUCUAAGUCAGCGGUGAACGUCUGUGGCUCAACCAUAGAAUUGCCGGUGAAACUGGGAGGCUUGAGUAUGUGUGAGGCAGGCGGAAUUCGUGGUGUAGCGGUGAAAUGCUUAGAUAUCACGCAGAACCCCGGUUGCGAAGGCAGCCUGCCAAGCCAUAACUGACGCUGAUGCACGAAAGCGUGGGGAUCAAACAGGAUUAGAUACCCCUGUAGUC
This 460-nucleotide ribosomal RNA is filed under the name uncultured bacterium. RNAcentral describes it as "partial 16S ribosomal RNA". It matches the Rfam family "Bacterial small subunit ribosomal RNA", at positions 338 to 795 of the family's 1533-position model. The record is from RNAcentral.